Molecule: long non-coding RNA, 1038 nt
Filed under: Ananas comosus (pineapple)
Lineage: Eukaryota; Viridiplantae; Streptophyta; Magnoliopsida; Poales; Bromeliaceae
Description: long non-coding RNA (ACOM_LNC027059)
Source: RNAcentral
AUUAAUAGUACUGUACGGAUUUUAAAGAUGUCCGAGUAAGCGCAGAUGUUUCUGUGCUUUUAAAAGCGUAGGAGCUCAACUCUAUCCUGAUUAUUAUCCAGCAUUACAAAUUAUUCUUACGAAGUUUUUAAAAUUGAAAAUUGAUUUAUGUAAAGUUUUAGUUGUUAAAUAAUGAUAAAUUCGUAUAAAAUUUAUCUGAAUUAUGGAUUAUUUUGAGUUGAUUAUCAAACUUUUCAAAGUUUUGAUUUCACUAUCCAAACUUUCAUUUGUUUGAUUUGAAUCAGUCAACUGCAUAUUGACUUCAAAAUUCGCAACUGUAGAUUCAUUAAAAUAAGUAUUUAAAUUUUAAAGUCAAUGUGCUGUUGACUAAUUUAAAUCAAACAAAUUAAUAGACUGGAUAGUAAAAAUAAAAUUUUGAAAGAUUAAUUAGUCGAUUCAAAAUGAUUAACAUAAGUCGUGUAAGUUCUAUAUGUUUUCACCCUAAAUAAUAUAUCCCUCUAAAAUUCUAAAAUAUGCAAAUUUAUUCCUCCAAAUGUCAUGCGUUUAGUUGAUAUAUAGUUUACUUUCACCAUUUGGACCAUUUAGACUUUGUAAAAAAAUACUAUUCUUUUUCUAAAAAUGUUUAAAAGAUUUAUAAUUGUGGCGUAAUAUGUCAUGCUUUUUGGCAUAAGUUUGGCAUACUUUCUAAAAAGGGUAAACUUCAAAUACCACCCUGUGGUUUCUCAAUUUCUCAUUUUAGUGCCCUGUGAUUUAAAGUAUAUCAAUUUAGUGCCUUGUGGUUUCAUUUUUAUCUUUUCGCCAGUUUUUCCGUUAAUAUUUCGUUAAAUUAUAUAUAAAAAACUUCAAAUAUCCCACCUAGGUUUAUCGAAUAUUCAUUUUAGUACCCUUUAGUUUUAACUUUAUCACUAAUUUAAUAAAAAAAAUUAAUAGAAUAGAUAAUAAAAAGAUAAAAAAUGAAACCACAAGACACUAAAUUGAUACACUUUAAACCACGGGGUACUGAAGUGAAAAAGUGUGAAACCACAGGGAUGGUAUUUG